UCAUUAUCGAAAUCCAUAGAGAGGGAGGAGGGGAGGGGAAAGAUGGAAAGUGAAAUGACUGUCGCUGGUCCCUUUGCUAUUUGCUGUUUGGGGGGCAUGUGCACGUCUUGCAUUUUCAUUGACCUUUCUCUCUCUCACUCUCUCAUGACACAACACCUGUGCACCUAUUGUAGGCCCUCGCAAGAGGACCUAUGUAUUUUACAUCACACACAUCGCAUGUCUAGAAUGUAUUGAGAACCGUCGAUCCAUCGAAAGAUGGGUGGGGCGGUCGAGAUGGAAAUCAUACAACUUUCAGCAACGGAUCUCUUGGCUCUCGCAUCGAUGAAGAACGCAGCGAAUUGCGAUAAGUAAUGUGAAUUGCAGAUUUUCAGUGAAUCAUCGAAUCUUUGAACGCACCUUGCGCUUCUUGGUAUUCCGAGAAGCAUGCCUGUUUGAGUGUCAUUGAAUUCUCAACCAUGUCUUGAUUGAUUUUCGAGGCAUUGGCUUGGAGUUGGGGGUUGCUGGCGGCGAGAAGCCAUCAGCUCUCCUGAAAUGCAUUAGCGAAAGGGGUUGCAAGUCUUACCUGGACGUGCACGGCCUUUGACGUGAUAACGAUCGUCGUGGGCUUGGAGCGUCUUGACUGGGAGUCCCUUCUGAUCGCUUCUAAUUCCCUUAUGGAACCGGCUUUGGAUUGGAUUGGCUUGACUUUACUAGUUGGUCUCGACGAACGGUCAGGUCCGAAAACUUCCUAGGCUGGGUCUGUCUUUGAAAUCUUGACCUCAAAUCAGGUAGGACUACCCGCUGAACUUAAGCAUAUCAAUA
RNAcentral lists this ribosomal RNA (801 nucleotides) under Boletaceae sp. TH10060. Its description in RNAcentral is "eukaryotic LSU rRNA". The stretch from base 287 to 441 matches the Rfam family "5.8S ribosomal RNA". Lineage: Eukaryota; Fungi; Basidiomycota; Agaricomycetes; Boletales; Boletaceae. The record is from RNAcentral.